This is a long non-coding RNA of Chenopodium quinoa (quinoa), 949 nucleotides long. RefSeq lists it as uncharacterized. The transcript is spliced from 2 exons. NCBI's taxonomy places the organism in Eukaryota, Viridiplantae, Streptophyta, Magnoliopsida, Caryophyllales, Amaranthaceae. The record is from RefSeq and is a predicted model, not a curated record.
AUGGAGAGAGAAAUUGCGGAUGAAAAAAAAUGUAGAAUAUGAUCAAUUUUUGAUUUUUUUUUUUUUUUUGUUUCAUUUAUUUGUAUAUAUAUGUGGGGUAGAAAAUUAACUGCAGUUACUUUUAUUGAAGGUUAGUGGGAUGCGGUUAGUGGGGUGAGGGGUUAUUUACUUAUUUUGGUAAUUUGGUGAGGGGGAGUAGGCAGAAUUGGCUAAAGGGGUUGUAGUAUUGUACUUUGUAGGUAUUAGGAAUUACCUAUAGAAUUACUCAAUUCUAAGCCCAAUAUAAUCAUCACUCAAGUCUCAACCCAUAAGCCCAAUCCAUAUUAACAAACAGCCGUCAAUCCAAAUUUUUAUAAACCCUAGCAAUCUUAAUUCUAAAACCCUAUUACAAAAACCCCAAUCUUCAUCUCCUCAAACCUCCAUCUCUUUCUCUAUCUUCUGCAAAUUCAUCUUUUUCUUCAGCUUUCUGAGGAAGUCAUGAGGGAAUUCACAUUACAUUCAUCACCUAUCGACAAUAGGGUAUUGAAUAAUUGAUUCAGUAUAUAGUUGACUGGUUUGAAACUGUCAAUUGUGAAGAGCUGAAGACCCUGUUAGCCUGUACAACUACUUUGCAGCUUUGCUGGAUUACUACAAUGAGGAUGGUUGCUGGUAUUUGUUUGAUGUACGGUAGUUUCUUGUUUGUAAGCAUUAGUUCUGUUAGAUGAUUGAACCAGGCAGCAUUGACAUGUCCACAAGUUCGAGUCUUCGUUGCUUGGACUUGAUACUGAGAUGUUAGGCAAAUGUGUCACUGAGCACAUCUGCUUGGUUAUCUAAGAUCAAUGUAUUUGGUUAUGUAAAGAUUGAUAUAUCCGAUUAUGCGAGAUGUAUAUCGUUUUCUUUCAUUCUUUCAGAUGUGAACAUAUAUUGUAUUGAAGGCUUGAAGCGAUUGAAAGAUACUCUUUUAUGUUGA